CAGAGGUCCCGAGCGUUGUUCGGAUUCACUGGGCGUAAAGGGUGCGUAGGUGGUGGGGUAAGUCGGAUGUGAAAUCUCCGGGCUCAACCCGGAAACUGCAUUGGAAACUACCUUGCUAGAGGUUUUGAGGGGGGGACUGGAAUUCUCGGUGUAGCAGUGAAAUGCGUAGAUAUCGAGAGGAACACCAGUGGCGAAGGCGAGUCCCUGGAAAACACCUGACACUGAGGCACGAAAGCUAGGGGAGCAAACAGGAUUAGAUACCCUGGUAGUCCUAGCCCUAAACGGUGCUUGCUUGCUGUAAGUGGAAUCGACCCCACUUGUGGCGGAGCUAACGCGUUAAGCAAGCCGCCUGGGAAGUACGGUCGCAAGAUUA
Molecule: ribosomal RNA, 373 nt
Filed under: uncultured organism
Description: bacterial SSU rRNA
Rfam family: Bacterial small subunit ribosomal RNA
Source: RNAcentral